Molecule: long non-coding RNA, 1267 nt
Organism: Oreochromis aureus
Lineage: Eukaryota; Metazoa; Chordata; Actinopteri; Cichliformes; Cichlidae
Source: Ensembl
GAUGAAAGAUGUGUUUUGAAAAUGCCACGUCACUACCGUCCUCCUCCCUCGCGGAUCAGUCCGCAUGUUCAUGGUACCAGCAUUUGUUAUAGAAUAUGUUGAGCAAAGCUGGAGAAGCGUCAGCUCAAGAUAUUAUUGUUGUCAUUGCUGUGGAUCUUUACCUGAUACACUGACUUGGCUCGGGACCAGCACUCCUGUUGUUGGACAGAAAGACAUCAACUUGAGAUAUGACUGCACGAUUCUGUUGCUGUGACUCCAGUUAAUUCUACAAGACAUGCUGUGACAGCAGGAGAGAUGAGUGCUCCGUCACAGAUGGUGUGGUCAGUGAAGAUCGCCUGCAGGUUCAAGCUCAUUGCAUCUCCAACCCACAUCCACUGCCACUGUACUUAAGGGAAGUUCAAGACUUUCUUCUGCACCUACAUUUGGAUCACCUCGAUCCAUGACAGUCAUUAAGGCAGUAAUGCCUGGACUGGAAACAAGCCAUCCUUAAAAUAAUACAACAUUCCAGCUCAUGUGUUGGAAUGAAAAACAAAUGCGUUGUUUAAAUUAGAGACAGUGACAGUAGUAGUAGUAGUAGUAGUGACAGAACAACAAAUAUUUUAUUUUGAUUAUAAAAGUAAUGUAAGUACAAAACAAACUUGUGGUAGGCCUAAACUUAUUUUCAGAAUAAUUACAUCUGAGACUUUGUUUCAUUGUAAGAAUAUAACAGUGAUGGAAAUAUAAUUGUUUGUUGUUCAAGAGAACAGUGUCCAGUUGUCAUGGUCCGCGGUCCGGUGUCCGAGGAGCUGAUGGGAUGCCCACGCCCACGGGCGUGGCUGUUAACUCCACACCUGCAUCCCAUCCCAGGGGAUCAUCAGGUGGACUAUUUGAUCCAGCCCAGCCUGCUGCUCCACGCCAGUCCGUUAGUCGCCUCACAGCGAUAACAGCUCGCCGUGUUUUUUGAGCCACCUGCCUGUCCACCUGCCCGUCUGGAGUUUGGAUCGCCUUCGGUACCCGUCAUCUCUACUUUCCUGGAGCUCCCCCGCGGACCCUCACCCCUCCCUCCAGCUCCCACGGCCCCGCCUUGACCCCUCCCACAGUCCCGAUUUCAGCAUUCCUGCGCGACUCAUCUCCCGGUCCCUUGGUUUCUCUAGUUUCACGCGUGUUUUCCUUUAACCCUUCCGGGACACCUUUAGUUGAAAUAAAGUUUAUUUUCUCGUACUCCUGUGCGUGUUGGCUCUGCUUCUGGGUCCAGCUUGUGCACUGAACUUCGGUUCAUGACACCAGU